UGGCUCUCGCAUCGAUGAAGAACGCAGCGAAAUGCGAUAAGUAAUGCGAAUUGCAGAAUUCAGUGAAUCAUCGAAUCUUUGAACGCAUCUUGCGCCCCUUGGUAUUCCGAGGGGCAUGCCUGUUUGAGUGUCAUUUAAUUCUCAACCCUAACCAUCUUUGUUGAUGAUCAGGUUUGGAUCUGGAGGUGUAUGCAGACUAUUGUGGUCAGCUCCUCUAAAAUGCAUUAGUGGUGCCUUUGUGGAUUCAACCGACUAUUGGUGUGAUAACUAUCUAUGCCAUUGGCUCGUGCCACCUAUAAAGUGCAAUACCGCUGUCUAACCGUCUAUGAAUGUAGACAACUUGACCAACUUGACCUCAAAUCAGGUAGGAUUACCCGCUGA
Molecule: unclassified non-coding RNA, 381 nt
Filed under: uncultured fungus
Lineage: Eukaryota; Fungi
Description: partial contains 5.8S ribosomal RNA and internal transcribed spacer 2
Rfam family: 5.8S ribosomal RNA (bases 1-133)
Source: RNAcentral